UUUACACCUUAUAUACUAAAAUCCUUAAUGUUGCAUAGUUUUCAUAAAUCUGUGUUUUUUUUUUUUACAGUAUCUUCUUACGGAUCCACACAUGCCAAGAGAACAUGCAUAUCGGAAAUGCCACCAAGCUAUCCAUGGACUCCUGAAACUACUACAAAAAAAAGAAAAACAAAUACAAGCUUACAAACAAAAAAGUACACUUUUGACAAAUCACAUUAAAAACACAGAAACAAAACUAACAGAAGCUUUGCUUAAACUCGACAUAUUGGAAGCUACACAGUCAUUCCAAUUAAGUGAAGAAACCGAUGAAUGGGACAACAUGGACUUGAACGAACUUGAAAACACUCCAGAAGAUGGAAUAAAGACAAACAUGAAUACAGAGGAAAUGGAUGCAUUCUCAACUGGAAAAGAAGAUGG
Molecule: long non-coding RNA, 417 nt
Organism: Nematolebias whitei (Rio pearlfish)
Lineage: Eukaryota; Metazoa; Chordata; Actinopteri; Cyprinodontiformes; Rivulidae
Exons: 3
Source: RefSeq, a predicted model, not a curated record